GCGACCCCAGGUCAGGCGGGAUCACCCGCUGAGUUUAAGCAUAUCAAUAAGCGGAGGAGAAGAAACUUACAAGGAUUCCCCUAGUAACGGCGAGCGAACCGGGAAUAGCCCAACUUGAGAAUCGGGCGG
Molecule: ribosomal RNA, 129 nt
Filed under: Streptocarpus candidus
Lineage: Eukaryota; Viridiplantae; Streptophyta; Magnoliopsida; Lamiales; Gesneriaceae
Description: partial 28S ribosomal RNA
Rfam family: Eukaryotic large subunit ribosomal RNA
Source: RNAcentral